GAUGAAGAACGCAGCGAAAUGCGAUACUUGGUGUGAAUUGCAGAAUCCCGUGAACCAUCGAGUCUUUGAACGCAAGUUGCGCCUCAAGCCAUUAGGUUGAGGGCACGUCUGCCUGGGCGUCACAUAUCGUUGCCUGAUGCCAGUUUCCUCGUGAUGGGUGACUGUGCAGGGCGAAUGAUGGCUUCCCGUGAGCAUUGUUGCCUCAUGGUUGGUUGAAAAUUGAGUCCUUGGUAGGGAGCGCCGUGAUAGAUGGUGGUUGAGUGACGAACGAGACCCAAUCAUGUGAGACCCCUACCGAAUUUGGCCUUCAUGACCCACAUGCGUCUUUGGAACGCUCAUGACGAGACCUCAGGUCAGGCGGGGCCACCCGCUGAGUUUAAGCAUAUCAAUAAGCGGAGGA
RNAcentral lists this unclassified non-coding RNA (400 nucleotides) under soil metagenome. RNAcentral's name for it is "partial contains 5.8S ribosomal RNA, internal transcribed spacer 2, and large subunit ribosomal RNA". The stretch from base 1 to 122 matches the Rfam family "5.8S ribosomal RNA", at positions 35 to 154 of the family's 154-position model. The record is from RNAcentral.